RNAcentral lists this ribosomal RNA (204 nucleotides) under Clostridium botulinum. RNAcentral describes it as "partial 16S ribosomal RNA". It matches the Rfam family "Bacterial small subunit ribosomal RNA", at positions 1 to 199 of the family's 1533-position model. The record is from RNAcentral. Lineage: Bacteria; Bacillati; Bacillota; Clostridia; Eubacteriales; Clostridiaceae.
UUUUAAAUUUAGAGUUUGAUCCUGGCUCAGGACGAACGCUGGCGGCGUGCUUAACACAUGCAAGUCGAGCGAUGAAGCUUCCUUCGGGAAGUGGAUUAGCGGCGGACGGGUGAGUAACACGUGGGUAACCUGCCUCAAAGUGGGGGAUAGCCUUCCGAAAGGAAGAUUAAUACCGCAUAAUAUAAGAGAAUCGCAUGAUUUUCU